This is a long non-coding RNA of Diabrotica virgifera virgifera (western corn rootworm), 543 nucleotides long. RefSeq lists it as uncharacterized. The record is from RefSeq and is a predicted model, not a curated record. The transcript is spliced from 2 exons. NCBI's taxonomy places the organism in Eukaryota, Metazoa, Arthropoda, Insecta, Coleoptera, Chrysomelidae.
CGUAUAAAUAUGAGCCGGUCUCAUUCAGGUUCAUUUGUAUAUAUUCUGUCAAGUGAAACCUAAACAAAUCUAGUUGGUUUUCUGAUUAUAUUGCUUAAUUUUCUGUUCACAUUUUCAUGAAUUGACUAACACAUUUGCUAAUUUGCAUAAUAUAUUUGUUUGAUAAUUUGAUUCAUCCAAUUAGGCACCCAGGAGAAGGGCAUGGCCCUAACCCUCAAAUAUGAGUAUUAUAGAAAAUUAACAGUUACCCAGGCAACCAUCCAAUGAGAAUCGUAGGAAAAUUAACAGUUCCACAGACAAUCAUCCAGUGACCACAUUGUCUCUUUUUGGACAUACCAUCUGACGCUUUCACUUGGGGUGUAAAUAACCCAGGACAGCACCGGAAGAAGCCGUCAGACCACAGGCUAAAUUCCUUAUUAAAAUCUAUAGCUUGCCUAUAAACAGAGACAGACUAUUUUUAUAUAAAAUAACUUCAUUAGUUCUAAAAUGUAGAUCUUGAAUUGUGACCAUAAUAAAAUGAGAAAAUAAAGUGUUUAUACUGAA